AACGCACAUUGCGCUCCUGGGUAUUCCUGGGAGCAUGCCCGUUUGAGAAUCAGUGAAAACCUCAACACCUUCUGUGUUUCCUAGUGAAACAGGGUUGGCUGUUGGAUUUGGGUCAUUUGCGAACAGGUGUUUCUGAUGCGGGGGAUUGUUGAUGUUAGUGCUUUCGGGUUCGCCCGAGGGGGGGCACUGACCUUGACAUGCAUCCAGGGGUGUAAGCACCGCAAAGCAAUGAUCUUAAAUUCAAUGUCCGCUGCUCCUUCGUAAGUAGGUGCAUUGGCCCGAGUGCUGGAAUGGUCUCACGACUUUUUUUAUCUCUCGAGUCCGCAUUUGCAGACGGCGUGAUGUCGGUGUGAACUCACAACUGAUUGUAAAGAGAACUGGUUCCGUAAGGUUCCUUCUCUCAACUUGGUCUCAAAUCGGGUAGGAGAACCCGCUGAACUUAA
Molecule: unclassified non-coding RNA, 443 nt
Filed under: uncultured fungus
Lineage: Eukaryota; Fungi
Description: partial contains 5.8S ribosomal RNA, internal transcribed spacer 2, and large subunit ribosomal RNA
Source: RNAcentral